This 3394-nucleotide long non-coding RNA is filed under the name Homo sapiens (human). Its description in RNAcentral is "HSALNT0343876". The record is from RNAcentral. Lineage: Eukaryota; Metazoa; Chordata; Mammalia; Primates; Hominidae.
CCUACCUCCGAGACCGCCCCGCCUCCGGGACCGCCCCGCCCCGCCUCGCCUCCGACACGUCCCCCGGGCGCCACUGCAGAGCCUGUCCGUCAGUCCCUAGGUAUCCGCACUGCUCAGGGGUGAGUUUUCCAAUCCCAGCGGGUCCUGGGGUGGGGGCGGUAGCUGAGCACCUAGGGCACUGGGGGUCGCCGCAAAGUGCUGGAGGCCCCAGACCAUACCCGGCGUCAGGGGGUGUCCCUCCCUUCUUAGGUCUAGGUCUUUGGUUUCAUUUCGUUUUGUUAGUCUGGUGCUAUUUGCAGUUUGUCUCAAAACACGUUUCUCCCUCCUAUUUGAACUUGUAAAUUACGAAUUUGACAAAGAUGUGCAUGGUGUGUGCGUGCACGAGGGCACAUUUCGUUGCGGAAUGCUGGGUCAGCUUUCCGGGACAUAUUACUCAUCUGAGGUUUUUUGUCUGUUUUUGUUUAUCCUGUCAAACUGGUACUGCCCCAGAAGUGAAAGACGUCGCUUGUCUUCUGGGAGGUAGCUAGCACGAUCUUGAGCUCAGGCUUCCGGAUCUCUCUCGGCUGCUUUUUUCCACUGGUAACUUCUGAGGCUGAGAUCAGGAGGAUUCCCUGGGAGCACCCACCAGCUGAGAUCUGCACAUCAGCCACAAUCCUCUCAGGACGGCGGAAAGGGAAGGGCUCAGCCGCCAGCCUGGCCACAGCCUGCAUCAUCUCAUCCCAGAGGCGGAGCACAGGCUCGGGGUCCUUCAGGGCCUGAAGGUUUGUGGUUGGCACUGUCAGGAUGAUGUUGUCCGUGGCCAGCUCUCCCCAGGGAGCCAGGUUCUCCUGCAUCUGCCUCUUCCACUCCUCCAGCGAUGUCUUACCUGGGAAUAAAUAUCAUGGAACCUACCACACCCACUUCUCCAACUUCCCUUGAGCUGAAAAAUACCAUUUGAACUCUGGAAGAACAUUGCAAUAAUGAACUACUAUCACAGGCGUCUAUAGGCUGUAAAGUGAAGAAAAGGCUUCCUGACUCUUCUCUUUGUCUGCCCUGAAGUCUCCAUGGACACAGGGUAUUCCGUAUCUUCUGCCUCCAUGUUCCCUCCCAACAGUUCUUCCUCUUUCUCUCCACCAAAGCUCAUCCCUCUCCCAUUUAGCAACCACCCCACAGUUCCCACGGCAUCUGCCACUCUUCCUCCUCCCUAAAUGUUCACUCCACUUACCCAGCUUGUAGUAUGGGGCAGGCACAGCUCCCCUGAUAGUGACAGGCACAGGGCCUAGUUGGCUGCCCUUGGGCACGAUGACGUAGAGGAGGCCGCCCCAGAGGCAGGAGACUGACCGCUCAGUCCUGUCCAUCCAGCAUUGGUGAGUCACCACGGGGGCUCGAGAUAGCUUCCUGGCCUUGGUAAGGUCAUCGGUGUGGCAGCCAAUCUGUACCUGGACAGGUGAUUCCACCAAGCGUUGGAGAAAUUAGAGUCUUUGUGAUGCUUUGUGAUGUGCGUGUGAGGUUGUGUAGAUGGAAGGUAUUAGACAAACAUGCCCAUGAAACCCCAGCUUCCCUUUUCUAUGUGCUAGGCAUGGAAACUUAUGAAAUUUUAGCACUCCAAAGUCAUUUGGACUUCAAGGCAUUUAAAAUCAUUUUUCUAAGGAUUUAAACAGCUCCACUAUAAGUCUUCACCUGACAUGAAUUGGUGAGAGACCAGGCUGAUCCUGGCAAAGGUCUUGUGUCUUUCUGCCAGGCAAAAUCCUGGGUUCUUCUAGCAGGACCUAAGCCAGUCUGGGGACGCUGAUAUUGAGGAUGAGCUGGGGGACUCUGCUCUGUCCUCUGUGAACACACAGGAGGCCCAUCCAGAGUGAGUGAGGUUGAUUCUCUCUCCCUCUUUGCCCAGAGCUUCCCUUUCUGGCCGCCAGAUGGGUGGAGAUCUGUUUUGUCUGGAGUCCUGGAGUUGCUUUUCUUAGGUUUGAUAUAAGCAAGCUCCAGAAAGAAUGCUGACAGAAAAGGGACCCUAGCUGUGGUAGGAAGUGGCCCUCAGAGUCAAGGAGGCAGGAUGAAUUUAAAUUCUGCAUGUAGGGCAUAUUUUGGGGAGUGAUGGGAUUAUGCACACCCUUCAGGUGUCAAGAUAAAGAGAUAAAACCAGAGUUUGUGCAGAAUGAGCUUGCUGACACACAGCCUAAAUUUGUACCGCAUGUUUCAUACUAACUCCCUCUGAGUUUGCACAUGGGACCCAUGAGGAGGCAUGAAGAGGUAACUGCCCAUGCCCGAGGAUUUUCCAGCCCUUCCUUUUCUUUCUAUCAAUCACCUACUAAUCACAGAAUCCACUCCCUACACCUUUUCUACUAAAAUAACUCUUUAAAAUAAGUACAAUGGGACAGAUUUGAGCUGGGCUCCUGUCUCCUUGUUAAUCAAAUUGCAAUAAAAUGUUUUCUUUUGUUUUUGUUUUUGUUUUUUUUUUGGUGAAAAACUCAAGUGUCAUAGUUUUGGCUUCUAGUCCAUUCUGCAGUGAGCUUCUCUUGCUUGAUAACACUAGGCACUUCAGUCACUCACUUAGAUGCCCUGAAAUUUAGCUGCUUCAUCUGUAAAAUCUGUAAAAUGGGCAGAAUAAUCCAUCUCUGUACUCCUGGCAGCAUUGCCAUGAGCUGGAACUAGACAGUGGAUGAGAAUGACACAGCUCUACGGUUUUGAGAGGUGGCAGAUGUGGGUGUUCAGACCUUACCCUCAGGCCAGCAGAGGCAGCAGCUUCAGACAGUGAGACUUCUGCAUUUUGUCCUUCCAGGAGGUAGAGCCCGGUACUCACCCAGCAAUCAUUGUUGCCUGACAAAAGUCACAGAGAAGGCUCAGUUCUUCCUUCCUAUGUGAGUAUAUCUCCACUUGGGGCCUCCCAGCCCCUCCCAGUGGUACAGCUUCUCCCCUGUGUAUCUCAAGUCAUCCAUACUUCUUAGACUCAUCCCCUCUAAACCUUAAGCAGUGUCCCAAUCCCCAUCUUCUUGAAAGUACCUGAUGAAGAAUGGAGUCAGCUGGGCCCAGUGGCUCACGACUGUAAUCCCAGCACUUUGGGAGGCCAAGGCAGGUGGAUCACCUGAGGUCAGGAGUUCCGGACCAGCCUUACCUUUACGGUGAAACUCCCUCUCUACUAAAAAUACAAAAAUUAGCCAGGCAUGGUGGCGUGUGCCUGUAGUCCCAGCAACACAGGAGGCUGAGAGAGGAGAAUUGCUUAAACCCAGGAGGUGGAGGUUGCAUGAGCUGAGAUCGCGCUACUGCAUUCCAACCUGGAUGACAGAGUGAGACUCUGUCUCAAAAAAAAAAAAGAAUGGGGUCAAUCUUCCUGAGGGUAGGUACCUGCAAUGUCCUGUGUAGUGUCAGCCAAUCCCACUUUCCCCUACAUCUUUAAUGUUCUGGGCACUCUCUCCUGUUU